AACGGGCGCUGGCGGCAUGCCUAACACAUGCAAGUCGAACGAGACCUUCGGGUCUAGUGGCGCACGGGUGCGUAACGCGUGGGAACCUGCCCUUAGGUUCGGAAUAACUCCCCGAAAGGGGUGCUAAUACCGGAUAAUGUCUUCGGACCAAAGAUUUAUCGCCUUUGGAUGGGCCCGCGUUGGAUUAGCUAGUUGGUAGGGUAAAAGCCUACCAAGGCGACGAUCCAUAGCUGGUCUGAGAGGAUGAUCAGCCACACUGGGACUGAGACACGGCCCAGACUCCUACGGGAGGCAGCAGUGGGGAAUAUUGGACAAUGGGCGAAAGCCUGAUCCAGCAAUGCCGCGUGAGUGAUGAAGGCCUUAGGGUUGUAAAGCCCUUUUACCCGGGAUGAUAAUGACAGUACCGGGAGAAUAAGCUCCGGCUAACUCCGUG
Molecule: ribosomal RNA, 433 nt
Filed under: uncultured bacterium
Lineage: Bacteria
Description: partial 16S ribosomal RNA
Rfam family: Bacterial small subunit ribosomal RNA
Source: RNAcentral